CAAGGACUUAAAGGAGAAGAAGGAAGUUGUGAAAGACGCGGAAAAUGGAAGAGACGCCCCUGCUAACGGGAAUGCUAAUGAGGAAAAUGGGGAGCAGGAGGCUGACAAUGAGGUAGAUGAAGAAGGGGAAGAAAGUGAUGGUGAGGAAGAGGAUGGAGAUGAAGAGGAAGCUGAGUCUGCUACAGGCAAGCGGGCAGCUGAAGAUGAUGAGGAUGAUGAUGUCGAUACCAAGAAGCAGAAGACCGACAAGGAUGACUAGACAGCAAAAAAGGAAAAGUUAAACUAAAAAAAAAAGGCCGCCAUGACCUAUUCACCCUCCAUUUCCUGUCUCAGAAUCUAAACGUAGUCACCUUCCAGUAUUGAGGCCCGCCCCCCCACCAUGGGCAGUGCCACCCACAGAUGACACACACUCUCCACCACCCAACCUAAACCGUAAGAAUUUGCAACAGGGGAGGAAAAAAGAACCAAAACUUCCAAGGCCCUGCUUUUUUUCUUUUUUUCUUUUUUCUUUUUUUUGAGGCAGAGUCUUGCUCUGUCACCCAGGCUGGAGUGCAGUGGUGCGAUCUCGG
This 569-nucleotide long non-coding RNA is filed under the name Homo sapiens (human). Its description in RNAcentral is "HSALNT0353769". Lineage: Eukaryota; Metazoa; Chordata; Mammalia; Primates; Hominidae. The record is from RNAcentral.